This 415-nucleotide ribosomal RNA is filed under the name uncultured Bacillus sp. RNAcentral describes it as "bacterial SSU rRNA". It matches the Rfam family "Bacterial small subunit ribosomal RNA", at positions 91 to 491 of the family's 1533-position model. The record is from RNAcentral. Lineage: Bacteria; Bacillati; Bacillota; Bacilli; Caryophanales; Bacillaceae.
GUUAGCGGCGGACGGGUGAGUAACACGUGGGCAACCUACCUAUAAGACUGGGAUAACCUCGGGAAACCGGAGCUAAUACCGGAUGGCAUAAAGGGACUCCUGUUCCUUUAUUGAAAGAUGGCUUCGGCUAUCACUUACAGAUGGGCCCGCGGCGCAUUAGCUAGUUGGUGAGGUAACGGCUCACCAAGGCGACGAUGCGUAGCCGACCUGAGAGGGUGAUCGGCCACACUGGGACUGAGACACGGCCCAGACUCCUACGGGAGGCAGCAGUAGGGAAUCUUCCGCAAUGGACGAAAGUCUGACGGAGCAACGCCGCGUGAACGAUGAAGGCCUUCGGGUCGUAAAGUUCUGUUGUUAGGGAAGAACAAGUGCUAGUUAAAUAAGCUGGCACCUUGACGGUACCUAACCAGAAAGC